AGUGAACGCUGGCGGUAGGCCUAACACAUGCAAGUCGAACGGCAGCACAGUAAGAGCUUGCUCUUACGGGUGGCGAGUGGCGGACGGGUGAGGAAUACUUCGGAAUCUACUUUUUCGUGGGGGAUAACGUAGGGAAACUUACGCUAAUACCGCAUACGACCUACGGGUGAAAGCAGGGGAUCUUCGGACCUUGCGCGAUUGAAUGAGCCGAUGUCGGAUUAGCUAGUUGGCGGGGUAAAGGCCCACCAAGGCGACGAUCCGUAGCUGGUCUGAGAGGAUGAUCAGCCACACUGGAACUGAGACACGGUCCAGACUCCUACGGGAGGCAGCAGUGGGGAAUAUUGGACAAUGGGCGCAAGCCUGAUCCAGCCAUACCGCGUGGGUGAAGAAGGCCUUCGGGUUGUAAAGCCCUUUUGUUGGGAAAGAAAAGCAGCAGGUUAAUACCCCGCUGUUCUGACGGUACCCAAAGAAUAAGCACCGGCUAACUUCGUG
This 492-nucleotide ribosomal RNA is filed under the name uncultured bacterium. Its description in RNAcentral is "partial 16S ribosomal RNA". It matches the Rfam family "Bacterial small subunit ribosomal RNA", at positions 29 to 507 of the family's 1533-position model. The record is from RNAcentral.